RNAcentral lists this long non-coding RNA (464 nucleotides) under Oryza sativa (Asian cultivated rice). RNAcentral's name for it is "long non-coding RNA (OSAT_LNC000463)". The record is from RNAcentral. Lineage: Eukaryota; Viridiplantae; Streptophyta; Magnoliopsida; Poales; Poaceae.
CAUUCUGAGGGAUUGUAGAUGGAUUAGUGGCUGCAGGAUGAGAUGCUUGUGAAUGAGGAAAUGUGGAGGCAGCCUGAGGAUAGGGUGCCCCUGCUUGAGGUGCUUGAGAAGCAAAUGAAGUGGGAGGUGCUUGAGAAGCAAAUGAAGCGGGAGCAGCAUGAGUUUGUGGACCAGCAGCUGCAGGCUGAGGUGCCUGGGAGGAGACAUAAGAUGGGACUGCCUGUUCAGGGUGCACAGAUGGGUUUGCAGGUGGUACCUCUGAAUGUGAUGAGGUGGGCACAAAAAUAUCUUGCUGCCCGGGUGCAGCAUUCGAUCCAAAAGAGAGGUCGCCAAGAGUGUCUCCAAAACCAAAGCUUGCUGCUGAAGCAGGCUGGAAAGGAUUUGCAUCUGCAGCAGGUUCAGUAGCAUGGAAAGAACCAGCAGGUGCAGCAUUUGUCUGAGAAACUGCAGGAGUUUCUUCAUGA